Molecule: RNA transcript, 3923 nt
Organism: Manihot esculenta (cassava)
Lineage: Eukaryota; Viridiplantae; Streptophyta; Magnoliopsida; Malpighiales; Euphorbiaceae
Gene name: pentatricopeptide repeat-containing protein At4g38010
Exons: 6
Source: RefSeq, a predicted model, not a curated record
AAAAAAGAAGACAACUGCCGUGUGCACAGUCCAACGCUUUGCGAGAACGCCCUUGGGAAAACUCGAGCUUUCAGGAGGUGUCUGGCGGGUGUACUUAACCUCUGUCCCUUCAUACGAACUGGACCAACCAAAUCAGUCUCCUCACUUCUCAGACCUUACAUUUCCCUAGCAAGGUUAUGAAGCUUGAGAAAACGCUUCACUUCCUCGCAUGUUCUCAUUAUCUGCUAAUGCUAAUUCAUCGCUUCUCUUCCCUUACUGGUUUAAGUCUCUCUGUUUCACGAAAUCAUGGAGUUGUGCCUUUCUAGCAAUCGCGAAUCUACAUGUAUAUAUCAAACAACUGACAUAGCUUUCUCCUGAAAAUGGGAAUAGUGCAAGUGCAGCUAAUAUGAGCAAGAUUAGGCCAUAUCUCGCGAAAUCAGUUCUUUUGGAGUGCAUUUCUAGAUGCAAUAACUUGAAAUAUUUCAAGACGAUCCAUGCACAAUUAGUUACUUCAGGCAUUGUUCGUAAUGACUUAGUUGUCAACAGAGUUGUUGACUUCUUUGGAAAAUCUGGUGAUUUUGUUCAUUACGCUUGUGGUUUUCUGAAACAAUUUGAUUGGCGCAUAAGCUCAUUCCCUUUUAAUAGUUUGAUUUCUUGCUACGCUAACAGUAGUAGGCCACAAAUAGCAAUUUUGGGUUAUAGACAGAUAGUGAGAAAUGGGUUUUUACCCGAUGUUUACACUUUCCCUGCGGUUCUGAAAUCAUGCUCAAAGUUUCUGGGGAUCGGAGAGGGAAGACAGAUUCACGGGGUUGUUUCUAAGAUGGGCCUUGUGAACGAUAUCUAUGUGCAAAACUCACUUCUUCAUUUACAUGGUGUUUGUGGUGAUUGUGAUGGUGCUGGCAGAGUGUUUGACGAGAUGCUCGUGAGAGAUGUGGUCUCUUGGACCAGUAUCAUUUCCGGUUAUGUGAGGGCAGGGUUAUUUGAUGAGGCUGUAACUAUGUUUUUGAGGAUGGAAGUUGAGCCAAAUGUCGCAACAUUUGUUAGCGUGUUAGUUGCUUGUGGGAGAAAUAGAAAUCUGAGUGUUGGGAAGGGAAUUCAUGGGUUGACUUUUAAGCGUGCCUUAGACGGAUGUUUGGAGGCCAGUAAUGCACUCAUAGAUAUGUAUGUUAAGUGUGAGUGUUUGAAUGAAGCCAAGCAAAUAUUUGACGAGCUUCCUCAGAAAGAUAUAAUUUCUUGGACCAGUAUUAUAAGCGGAUUGGUCCAAUAUAAACGUUCCAAGGACUCGUUGGAGUUGUUUUAUGAUAUGCAAAACUCAGGCGUUCAGCCUGAUAGGAUUAUACUUACCAGUGUGCUUUCAGCUUGCGCAGCCAUUGGAGUUCUUGAUUAUGGCAGAUGGGUACAUGAGUACAUGGAACGGAGGGCAAUCAAAUGGGAUAUUCACAUUGGAACUGCUAUGGUUGACAUGUAUGCAAAAUGUGGCUGCAUAGAUAUUGCAGUUCAGACCUUCAAUGGAAUGGCAAGUAAGAAUAUAUUUACAUGGAAUGCUUUGCUAAAUGGGCUGGCAAUGCAUGGACGUGGCUACGAGGCACAGAAACUUUUUGAAGAAAUGGUAAGGAUGGGCAUGACGCCAAAUGAGGUGACAUUUCUUGCCAUUUUGACAGCUUGUUCCCACUCUGGCUUGGUAGAUGAAGGGCGUAAAUACUUUUGUCAGAUGACAAACUGUCAGUAUAAUCUUUCUCCAAGGUUAGAACACUAUGGGUGCAUGAUAGAUUUGCUUUGCAGGGCUGGACUAUUGGAUGAAGCUUUACAUCUGGUGAAAAGUAUGCCUAUGCCACCUGAUGUGCUUAUAGUGGGAGCUCUUCUUAGUGCUUGCAAAGCUAAAGGAAUUUCCGAUAUCUCUCGACGUAUACUAGACCACCUCAUAGAACUUGAGUCUCAAGAUAGUGGGGUUUACGUGCUCCUCUCUAAUAUAUAUGCUUCUAACAAAAGAUGGACUGAUGUGACUAAAGUUAGGAGGUUGAUGAAUAAGAAAGGAAUUAAAAAGUUCCCUGGAAUGAGUAUUGUAGAGGUGGAUGGUAAGGCACAUGAGUUUCUUGCUGGGGAUAUUAGCCAUCCUCGAAAUGAGGAGGCUUGGAUAUUGCUGAAGUUCCUCACCAACCAAAUCUUCCUUGAAGGGCAUCUGCAGGACUAUUAUUGACAACAUAAACACAUUUCUUGGAAAUUAAACAACCAACGGUUUUACUUGAGCAGCUGGCCUGGAAGUAUAUUCAUGUUUCUUGAUGCUACUAUGGUUUGAGACUUGGAGGCUGGAGUUUCUGGUACUUCCUGUUCUGCAGCUGUUCUUGCUGUUUCAGUCUCAGAGGUUUCUGAUGCUUUCUUUUUUCCAGUUUUUACUUUGGUUUGGGACUCGGAGGUUUCUCCUUGUUCCAGUUCUCCAAAAUAUAUCUUUGGGACGGGCAUUGGACCUGAAAAAGAGUUUGAUGUAUCUAAUUCAUCUUCUAAAACAAAUUUAUACAUCUUUUCAAGUUCUUUAUCAGUACCAGAAGAAUUGUCCAGGAACCAAACAGCUUCUUUGCUGGGACAAGACUUACCAUUCCAGUAAUGGUUGAUUCUGCCAAGAGGGGAACAGUAGAGGCAUCCAAAUCCAGAUGGGUUUUCCCCAAAAAUCUUGUAGAAGGAACAAAUGAGGAAGUCUGGGCGAAUGAGAGGGAGGCCAAAGCUGUCCAUGCCUUUUGGUCCCAAUGCACAAGCAUCAAUCAAGAUAUGCAGCCAUUCUCCUGAGGAUACUCAAUCACAAAUAAGGAUAUCUGGCUCCAGUCACUCUAGAAUGAAGAGGAAAGACAAAUAGUCCUCUCUUCAUGUUCUUUUUUCUGUUCCUCAUUACCAUCUUCCUUAAGUUUGCUGAAUCAAUCCUGAGCCUAGGCCAUGAGAACUCGGCUGACAUGACUUCGCCUCCUUUUUUCUUAGAACAGUUAAUCAUGGUUUCUACUGCUUCACUUUCAUAGUCAUAACAGUCAGAAGCUUCUGACUAUAUUGGAAAGGACUCUAAUUCUGAUUCUUGGCCACCGUGAAGUAGCUGUGUCUUCAGAUUUCCCAUCUUGUAGGAGACACUGAAUAAGAGAAAAUGUGAAAUUUGAGGAGGUGAAUGUGGAGAAGAAGAGACAAUUUGUUUUCUGGAGUCAUGUUUUUGUAGCUGGGAAUAGGAGAAGAGACCGAUGCCCAAUAUAAUCAAGGAAGGUACGGUGGGAGAGUGAGAUAUGAUAGUAUUCCUGUUCUCAAAUUUGAUCAACUUGACAGGUUUCAUUAUAUUGUGGAUAAGCUUUGGAGAAUUCAGCAAAUGUUUCUUGCAAAGAUGGGAGAGACUCGGGGUUUGCGAAGACAGAGGAAGCAGCUGUCUCUGCAAAGUUCUGGCGACAUGUUGCUAUUGUGCUUCUGGUCUUGCCCCUUUGUUUCUGGGGCUCAGGAAAGCCAAGUUGAGGGCUGAGGCAGCGGCAAUUGAGGCAUGACUGGGAGGUUUCUUUUAUGUAAGUAAUCACUUGGUUGUAAACGGGAUGGGGACGGGGUGCCUCUCACGCUCCACAGGGACAUGUUGAACAGUUGGGUAUCCGGCAAAUGUUCAAAGCAACAUAUGUAAGCGGACGACAAAACCCAUUCUUACCGAUAAUGACCCUGAAAGCUUCCUUCAAAUUUGCUUCCGGUUUAAGGCAUUUGAUUUCCAGGUAACAAAAAGCCCCACUCCAGCGCUUGGUGAGUGCCUAUUUAUAGGGGUGCCAUGUGUGGUCCUGUAAUCAUUACUAAGGUUGGUUGUAUUGCCUGCUCUAAGUCUCUUCAAAAGUGGUUUUGUGCUUUUCUUAUACAAAACUUGGAAUGCCAAGUCCAGAUCCUCAAUAUUUAUCAAAGGAACAAUUCUAUCCGAGGACUAUCCUUGGAUAUUAUAGCGUAAA